CCACGUAGUGCAGCAAAACAGCCAUGUGAGGAGUAUAGCCAGUGAAAACACUAUGUGAGAGUUAGUGGAAUAAGAAAAAGAAGAAGAUGGAAUUAGUUUUAAAACCAACGCAACAGCUGCAGUGUGGGAGCACUUUGGAUUUAAACCAAAUGAGCGUGGGGAACCUGAGCCAGUCGGUCUGAUGGAUUGGUCCUAAAGGGUCAAUUUGCUGUGUUUUGGACUGGCUCAGCAAAACAUUGUACUGCACCUUCAUCAUCAAGUCAAGACAUUGGCAGCCCGGAAGCACUAGGGAAAGAUGAAAGCGUCCUGCUGUUGCUUAUCCCUUCCCAGCAUGGCAACUGCACUGAUCACAGGAGGAGGACACAGGUGGAGACCUGGAACAGUGUCAUCAUCAGUGCUCAAACAGAAAAGAAACAGUUUGGCCCAGGCUCCAGGAGCUGGAUUUAGCCAAGGUGGGAAAUGCCAGCCAAAUGCCUUUUUGCCCCUCUCACAAUAUCAGGGGCUGUUCUGCGGAUGGAGAGUAGGCUAAUAUUGAAUAGGCAGGCCAGACAAAUAAGAGCAAAGCGUACUUAGCCACCUGUGGACCAGCUGGAGAAAAGAUGGACAUAAGAUGGCAUGGCGUCCUCAGAGAUUCAGCCUGAUGAACAAAUUGAAUGAAAACAACAGAAGCACUGGACCUGCUGCCACACAGAAAAUUAUACAGCCUCUUUAUUUGAAUUUCUAAUGAAUGGUUGUGCCACAGUACUUGGAAAUAUCUGCGACUUGAUGAACAGUGUGUGCUAAGUUGCUUAUAUUGUAUUCGUUAAAAUAAAUCUGACCGUUAUUGUUUGUCACUUGGAGAUUGAACCACGACUAUGUGUCUAACAAGUAGUGCUAAGUCGGUCGCUUGCAUCAAGUUUUUUGUUUAAGCUCAUUUAUUAAU
Etheostoma cragini (Arkansas darter) is the source of this 922-nucleotide long non-coding RNA. RefSeq lists it as uncharacterized. NCBI's taxonomy places the organism in Eukaryota, Metazoa, Chordata, Actinopteri, Perciformes, Percidae. The record is from RefSeq and is a predicted model, not a curated record. The transcript is spliced from 4 exons.